CCCAGUUCCCCUUGCUUCCAACCAGCUGGAAACUGAAGGGCCCUCCUCGUGUGAAGCAAAUGCUGGAAUGUGUGCUUCGCCUGCCUUUCAGUGGGCCUCUCUAAGGACCACAGUGGGCACGCCGUCAGGGCCCAUUUGGAAGAUGAGCGUCUGCUGCUCAGCCCCCAUGGAGCAGACAGACUGACAUCUGCAGGAAGCCGACAGCUUCGCCUCACCACCUUCCCUCCAUCGGUCACCAGCCCUAAUGGGAUAGUCUUGUACUCGGCUUGCUUUCUUCCCCUUUUCACUGAAGGGCCCUGCUACGUCCUGCAGACACAGCUCAUGAAGCCUCUCGGGGGUGGCCGUGGAUGUCCUCUUCUAGGGGCACUGUCUCAUCAGCCUUUGCUGGCUCGACCGUGUUCCUGAGAUACCCCGCGGCCCAGAAGGCUCCAGUGCGACCAACACUCCCCGAGCCUCAGCUGCAAUGCCGAGUGCCGUCUGCUGUGUUUCCUGUGCCCCCUCGAACAGAUUUCCAGAGGACCUGCUCUGGGCCUUCCUAAGAGCCAUCCAAACUAAUGAUCUGAAAGGUGAGAAGGCACAGUGGUUUAAAGAAUGGUCACCACCAACUUGAAGGAGGGGGAAAAUUACACUUGUUCUCAAGGAGGUUCAUUAAUGGCUCCGACACGGUGGUGACUUCACACUCCCGCAAGAAGAUCAAUGUGCAGCCGUGGCGGUGACUUCGGACUUUCAGGAAAAAUCUCCCUGGCCCAAGGAGGAUUGGGGGGUGGGGAUAGCUUCGGCCCCAGCCCCCUGCACCCCCCUACGUGGCAAAGGACUGAUCUUUAAUUGGCUUCCAGGGUAUGGACGCCAGGCUCUCGCCUGAGCCGGAGCUCCUGCUGCUGCUGCAGGAGAGCGAGGGAGAACCCCCUCCCUCUGCUCAUCAGCAGCUCUUCAACCCUGUGAUGCUAGGAGGCUCCAGGCAGAGCUCUUACCUAACCCCCUUAGAGCUCCAACUCUGCAAAAAGCCUUGGGAAAGCAGCAAGAGCGUGUGUCUGUUUCUGAAAAUCUCACAAUAGUGUGAGCUGCUGUUCUCCUAACAUCUGGCUCUUUUAAAUCUACAAGUUGAAAUCUCAGGGGCUCGACUUUUUAAGUAAGUAUAAAUGCAAAUCCUGUUUUAUAUAUAUAUAUAUAUAUAUAUAUAUAUAUAUAUGAAAUAUACAUGAACAUAUAUCAACACAUCUGUGCGUGCCAUUCGGAUUAUUACUGCCAAUAUUCGUGUCCCGGGAAUUCAGACCUCAAACUACCAAUUUGUGCACAAUUUCACCCUCCCCGAUGGGCCCUGGGUGCUAUCCUGCCGAGUCUGGGUU
Molecule: long non-coding RNA, 1346 nt
Filed under: Suricata suricatta (meerkat)
Lineage: Eukaryota; Metazoa; Chordata; Mammalia; Carnivora; Herpestidae
Description: lncRNA (ENSSSUG00005000193.1)
Source: RNAcentral